This is a non-coding RNA of Styela clava, 1389 nucleotides long. The record is from RefSeq and is a predicted model, not a curated record. NCBI's taxonomy places the organism in Eukaryota, Metazoa, Chordata, Ascidiacea, Stolidobranchia, Styelidae.
AGGAAUCCUUAUUCCUCUAGACCAGGUAAACGAGGCGCAAAAGGCGAUGUUGGCCCACCAGGAUUAAAGGGAUCGUCCGGAGAAGUUGAUUAUGGAAGAAUGAACCGAGCAAUUCAAGAAAAUGUAGAAACCGAAUUCAAUAGAGUGAACACGGGAUUGGUUGGAAAAAUAAAUAAAAUGGAAGAAAUGAUUCGAAAAAUGAAUAACACUAUGUCCGACCCUCGUAGGCUGGUGAAGUUACAAGGACUUUGCCCCGUAAAUUAUCGCAAUCAUUGCUUCUGGUCAGUAGUGCAUUCAACAUAUGAUACCAAUAUGGAUGAAGCAAAAAGAAUUUGUGGAGAAAACAAUGGGCUUCCGGCGAAUGUUUAUAACGAGCAACAUCUGAACGACUUGAUGGAUGAUAUUCGAAAAAAAGUAUCAGGCUCUUUUGUGUACAUAUGGACAGGCAUGACAGUCGAUGUAUAGACGAAUGCAGUUCGCAUGAGAGACCUCACUGCGGCUGCGUUUGUCAAAUGGUUGAACAGUGGAUUUCCAGACAGAGGAGAAUCAGGUUUGUAUAUCUACGUUACUACUGACGCAUCAUCCAGCAGCCAAGGAAUGGGGAACAAUCCACCUGCAUACAAAUAUCACGGCGUCAUUUGUGAAAAAUAGAAUACAAUGUAUUCGAGAUGUCUUUAUAUUUGAAUCAUAUUUCAAACUCUGUAUUUUGGGAAACAUAUUUUUGACAAUGUUUCAAUUAGUUUUCACGAUAAGCCAUUUCCUAUUAUAUCGCAUGAAAAACUAUCUAUACUGGUGAUCUGAAGACAUUUGUGUUCCGCCACACGAAUAAACCUUUUUUACCGCAUUUAUCUUUUCUGGUAUAAUUAUGAAAAUCCUUCGUUACUUUCUAAACUUCACACUCUACACGGAGUAUUGAAAAAGGUUCCCAUUGAUAAUGAGAAAAUUUUAGGUAUACUUGACAUGAAUGUAUGGUUAAUAUAUAUGACAUGACUUAUUUCCAAGACUAGGUUGUUUUAGAUUUUCGCUCGUACCAAGGACUUAAACAAGCAGGCGCUUGUUUCUAAGAAGCCACUAGAUUUAUAAAUGCCGGUUUUAUCAAUUUCUUUUUGAUAUCACCGAAAACAUAUAUUUGUUUUUCUCUCUGCAAAUUAGCAAAUCUACCGCAACAAUUUUUCGUUUUUGCCCUGAAGUAUUUCAACUCUAUGGUAAAUUCGGAUUUCAGUUUACUCGCGCAGUGUUUGCAUAUUCGUUUUCAAGUUUCUGUAAAAAUGUCUUUCGGUUGAUAGGCUGGAAAUGAAAAAUGAAAGGACCGGGAUUGAAAUAUUUUGUAAAAUGAAUGCAGCAAGCCAAUAUACGAGAAUAUCGGUCAGAGACCAAAGACUUAUCGAU